This 543-nucleotide ribosomal RNA is filed under the name Triticum aestivum (bread wheat). RNAcentral describes it as "partial small subunit ribosomal RNA". The record is from RNAcentral. Lineage: Eukaryota; Viridiplantae; Streptophyta; Magnoliopsida; Poales; Poaceae.
AUGAGGGGAUCUCGAACUGACCCUGUGGAUAUCAGUUCUGAUGGAAGCGCGAACAGUGGCUCUGACGAGAACUCGGACAGCAGCUCAGAUGGAUCUAGUGAUAGUUCCUCUUAUGAAGGAGCGUACAUGAGCUCCGAUGGAGUGGUGGACAUCAGCUCUGAUGAAGGGAAGUACACGAGCUCUGAUGAAGGCGAGUACAGCAGCUCAGAUGAGGGUGUCUACACCAGCUCUGAUGAAGACAUGAACAACAGCUGUGAUGAAGGCGCUCACACCACUACUGCGAAAGGUGUGCAUAGGCGCAUGAAGGAAAAGAAGCCUCGGAUGCUAUGCAUGGACAUCUGUGAUUGCCCUAAACACUACACAGUUGACUACGAGACCGACGCUGCUGCUGCCCAGUUCGACUACGGAGUUGACGACCCCUCUCUCUUGCCAGAGCAACCAGAUGCUGGAGUCCAGGAGCCAGACGCCACCGUCGACGACGACCCCUACUACACCGGAGGUGCCUACUACUACGUGAUGCCCGCUGAUGACGACCAGGAGUAG